UACGUAGGCAGCGAGCGUUGUUCGGAGUUACUGGGCGUAAAGGGUGUGUAGGCGGUCUUUUAAGUUUGGUGUGAAAUCUCCCGGCUCAACCGGGAGGGUGCGCCGAAUACUGAGAGACUUGGAGUGCGGGAGAGGAAAGUGGAAUUCCUGGUGUAGCGGUGAAAUGCGUAGAUAUCAGGAGGAACACCGGUGGUGUAGACGGCUUUCUGGACCGUAACUGACGCUGAGACACGAAAGCGUGGGUAGCAAACAGG
This 254-nucleotide ribosomal RNA is filed under the name uncultured bacterium. RNAcentral describes it as "partial 16S ribosomal RNA". It matches the Rfam family "Bacterial small subunit ribosomal RNA", at positions 524 to 776 of the family's 1533-position model. The record is from RNAcentral.